RNAcentral lists this microRNA precursor (61 nucleotides) under Caenorhabditis brenneri. RNAcentral's name for it is "microRNA cbn-mir-237 precursor". Its record names the gene cbn-mir-237. Lineage: Eukaryota; Metazoa; Nematoda; Chromadorea; Rhabditida; Rhabditidae. The record is from miRBase by way of RNAcentral.
UCCCUGAGAAUACUCUGGCAGCUCGAAAAGUAUGUCUAGCUGCUGAGUACCAUCGGGGACC